RNAcentral lists this ribosomal RNA (438 nucleotides) under uncultured bacterium. Its description in RNAcentral is "partial 16S ribosomal RNA". It matches the Rfam family "Bacterial small subunit ribosomal RNA", at positions 339 to 795 of the family's 1533-position model. The record is from RNAcentral.
CUACGGGCUGCUCCAGUGAGGAAUAUUGCACAAUGGGGGGAACCCUGAUGCAGCAACGCCGCGUGGAGGAUGACGCAUUUCGGUGUGUAAACUCCUUCUAUAUGUCAAGAAAAUGACGGUAGCAUAUGAAUAAGCACCGGCUAACUCCGUGCCAGCAGCCGCGGAAUACGGAGGGUGCAAGCGUUACUCGGAAUCACUGGGCGUAAAGGACGCGUAGGCGGGUUGGAAAGUCAGGUGUGAAAUCCUACAGCUUAACUGUAGAACUGCACUUGAAACUUCUAAUCUAGAGUAUGGGAGGGGGAGAUGGAAUUAGUGGUGUAGGGGUAAAAUCCGUAGAUAUCACUAGGAAUACCUAAAGCGAAGGCGAUCUCCUGGAACAUUACUGACGCUAAGGCGUGAAAGCGUGGGGAGCAAACAGGAUUAGAUACCCUGGUAGUC